AAAACACCCCUACGGGAGGCAGCAGUGGGGAAUAUUGGACAAUGGGCGAAAGCCUGAUCCAGCCAUGCCGCGUGAGUGAUGAAGGCCCUAGGGUUGUAAAGCUCUUUCAACGGUGAAGAUAAUGACGGUAACCGUAGAAGAAGCCCCGGCUAACUUCGUGCCAGCAGCCGCGGUAAUACGAAGGGGGGCUAGCGUUGUUCGGAAUUACUGGGCGUAAAGCGCACGUAGGCGGAUAUUUAAGUUAGGGGUGAGAUCCCAGGGCUCAACCCUGGAACUGCCUUUAAUACUGGGUAUCUCGAGUCCGAGAGAGGUGAGUGGAAUUCCGAGUGUAGAGGUGAAA
Molecule: ribosomal RNA, 340 nt
Filed under: uncultured bacterium
Lineage: Bacteria
Description: bacterial SSU rRNA
Rfam family: Bacterial small subunit ribosomal RNA
Source: RNAcentral